Molecule: ribosomal RNA, 446 nt
Filed under: uncultured bacterium
Lineage: Bacteria
Description: bacterial SSU rRNA
Rfam family: Bacterial small subunit ribosomal RNA
Source: RNAcentral
AGCGAACGCUAGCGGCAGGCUUAACACAUGCAAGUCGAGCGGGAUGAUUUCGGUCAUCCAGCGGCGCACGGGUGAGUAACACGUAGGUAACGUACCCUUUGGUGAGGAACAACCCAGGGAAACCUGGGCUAAUGCCACCUAUGUCCUUCGGGAUGAAAGUCGAAAGACGCCAGGGGAUCGGCCUGCGGCCCAUUAUCUAAUCCUAGUUGGUAAGGUAACGGCUUACCAAGGGUACGAUGGGUAGCUGGUCUGAGAGGAUGAUCAGCCACACUGGGACUGAGACACGGCCCAGACUCCUACGGGAGGCAGCAGUGGGGAAUAUUGCGCAAUGGGCGAAAGCCUGACGCAGCCAUGCCGCGUGAGUGAUGAAGGCCCUCGGGUCGUAAAGCUCUGUCGGGAGGGACGAAGGUGGCAACACUCUGACGUACUUGCAAGAAGCACCGGCU